GUGGUCAUUUCAGCAGCACAUGUACUAAAAUUGGAACAAUACAGAGAAGACUAGCGUGGCUCCUCUGCACGGAUGAGAUACAGAUUUAUGAAGCAUCCCAUGUACAG
Molecule: small nuclear RNA, 107 nt
Organism: Colobus angolensis palliatus
Lineage: Eukaryota; Metazoa; Chordata; Mammalia; Primates; Cercopithecidae
Source: Ensembl